This 760-nucleotide ribosomal RNA is filed under the name uncultured eukaryote. RNAcentral describes it as "bacterial SSU rRNA". It matches the Rfam family "Eukaryotic small subunit ribosomal RNA", at positions 1052 to 1827 of the family's 1831-position model. The record is from RNAcentral.
GCAGGCGCAUUCGAUUGCACUGCGGAGGCUCGCUUUAUUGAGGGCAUUCGGAACUUGGCGGAAAUGGGAAUUCUGUUUCGGGGGAAAUAUGGUUGCUAAAGGGAAAAUUAAGGGAUUGUUAGUGGGGGCCCCCUCUGGAGGAGACCGCGGCUUUAAUUGGCUCUUUACCGGAAAACUCUCCCCGGCCCGACACCCUGAAGAUUGACACAUAGAGAGAUCUUUCUUGAUUCUGUGGGUGGGGGGGCGUGGGCCUUCUUAUUUGGGGGAGCGAUUUGUCUGGGUUAUUCCCAUAACGAAAAAGACUCUGGCCCCCUAAAUAUAGACAGGAUUAUUACUGUCCUGGAUACUUCUUACAGGGACAAGUGGUUUUCAGCCACACGGAAUUGAGCAAUAACAGGUCUGUGAUGCCCUUACAUGUCCGGGGCUGCACGCGCGCUACACUGAAGGAAUCAGCGUGCUAUAACCAUUGUCGAAAGGCAUUGGUAAACCCAUUAAAAUCCUACGUGAUUGGGAUCGGGAAUUGCAAUUAUUUCCCUUGAACGAGGAAUUCCCAGUAAGUGUGGGUCAUAAGCUCGCGUUGAUUACGUCCCUGCCCUUUGUACACACCGCCCGUCGCUGCCCGGGACUGAGCCGUUUCGAGAAAAGCGGGGACUGCUGCUGUCGGGGCUUUCGCGCCUUGGCUUCGGUGGAACCGCUUUAAUCGCAGUGGCUUGACCGGUCAAAGUCGUACAAGUUUCCGUAUGUGAUCCUGCAGAUGAUC